ACCCGCACAAGCGGUGGAUCAUGUUGUUUAAUUCGACGAUACGCGAAGAACCUUACCAGGUCUUGACAUCCCCUGCAAAGCUAUGGAGACAUAGUGGAGGUUAUCAGGGAGACAGGUGGUGCAUGGUUGUCGUCAGCUCGUGUCGUGAGAUGUUGGGUUAAGUCCCGCAACGAGCGCAACCCUUAUUGCUAGUUACCAUCAUUAAGUUGGGGACUCUGGCGAGACUGCCAGUGAUAAACUGGAGGAAGGUGGGGAUGACGUCAAAUCAUCAUGCCCCUUAUGACCUGGGCUACAAACGUGAUACAAUGGCUGAAACAAAGGGCAGCGAAGGAGCGAUCUGGAGUGAAACCCAAAAAAGCAGUCUCAGUUCGGAUUGAAGUCUGCAACUCGACUUCAUGAAGUCGGAAUCGCUAGUAAUCGCGGAUCAGAACGCCGCGGUGAAUACGUUCUCGGGGUUU
RNAcentral lists this ribosomal RNA (458 nucleotides) under uncultured Acholeplasma sp. RNAcentral's name for it is "bacterial SSU rRNA". It matches the Rfam family "Bacterial small subunit ribosomal RNA", at positions 920 to 1378 of the family's 1533-position model. Lineage: Bacteria; Bacillati; Mycoplasmatota; Mollicutes; Acholeplasmatales; Acholeplasmataceae. The record is from RNAcentral.